Molecule: RNA transcript, 3111 nt
Organism: Schistocerca serialis cubense
Lineage: Eukaryota; Metazoa; Arthropoda; Insecta; Orthoptera; Acrididae
Exons: 2
Source: RefSeq, a predicted model, not a curated record
AUAAAAUUAGUCAAUGUAGAUUUUAUUACGUAAGCAUUUAAUAAAAUUUUACUCAAUAUAGUAAUUGGUUACUGAUUAGCAUCGCUAGCGCGAAAUCGCUCACGACGAACUCAUGGUUAACGCUAAAAAAAAUUUGGUCUAGGCAGAAAUACAUUAGCUCUAAUAGUUAAUUUUAUUGGUUAACAGGAGUUUCAGUCAAGGUGAAUUACAAAGUCUUUUUCAGUCCCGAGCGUAAUUAAAUUUCAUUCUAACACAAACUUCCGAUGUUACAGUAAUUUUUUUUCGGAAUGAAUUGACUCGUUUCUGAUGUAUUGUCGGUCGGGAGCUACGAGUAUCAGCGUGUACGGUACAUUUAACCAAAGUUUAUAAAAGUAUGUUUUACAGAUAUAUGCGCUUUGUCACGCGUAACGAAAACAAAAUAACAGAUGAUACAAGACCACCUACAAUAAAUCAGACCUUAAGGCAGAUACCGAUAGUUGACAAUAUGGCGGCAAUCGUGGGGGAAACAAACCAGCGUGCUUGUCACUUCAGCGCGCUUGUGUUUCCAUAACAUGUGUGUGUAACAUUGUGUAUGUGACGUUCAAGAGAAGCGAAAGCAUUUAUUACUAAUCUGUUAUGUAUGCUAGAUGCUGUGAAUGUCGUCACAAGUGCAACGCUAUUAUUUAUUUUCUAGAUUCUGUAGUAAGCUCGGCAUAAUUUAAAGUGUAAACUGUUCUUGUGAUGGAUCGUAGCUGUUGUGUACCAGGAUGUAAAUCCAAUUACGGCAGAUCAUACGAUACCUCAAGUUUCCCAAAGAAACAGCAUUGAGGAACAAAUGGAUUAAACUAAUUCAUAGAGAUAAUUUUGUAGUGAACGAUAAAAGUGUGGUAUGCGUUUUGAACCUAAGUUUGUGGUUAGGGAAGACAUUUUUCCUGUGGAAAACAGUGAACCAAUACGUGUGCCACGAAAAAUACCAAAACUAACAAAUGAUGCAAUUCCAACUAUCUUUCCUAAUCAACCUUCUUAUCACACAGUACCAGUUCCUAAGGAAAGGAAGAAUCCUGAAGUUCGUGUUCAACAGCUACUGUAACGUGAUGAAUGUAGUUUCAGUAAGUGGUGCGAAAAUGACAAUAUACCUGACUUUCAGCAUUUGAAAAGCGAAGUGCAGAAAAGGAAUGUUUGUCCAUUUACAAUUUUAGUAAAGGAUGACUAUGUAUCUUUCAUUAAAUUAAAGGAUGAUUCAGUCAGUGAUGUGCCAUAAGUUUCAGUGUGCUUCAAGAUACCAAGUUCCUUGGAAGUAAAAGUGUUUCACAAAAAUGUGUGUUUGCCUACAGAAACCUUGAAAUGGAUAUUACAGUCUAGGGAGGAAGAGAACUUGAAAUUGACAAGUGGACGAAAUUUGAUAACCUGAUUGGUAAUGGACAACAUCAUCGAGGUCUUGCAGAUGCUGUACACUCUUCUGGAAGCUCAGGUUCCGACUCCAUCCCUGAAAGCACUUAUGUACUUGGUGACGAGAUUACACAUCUACAUGGCAACACGAAAUGGACUCUUAGGUGAAUACACAACCUUCUUUUGAGCUAUUUGAUUCAAUUAGAAAUUUCUUCGCAACCACCAUCUGCCUCUGCUUCAACGACCUUAUUAGAAUUUCUGAAACCUCAGAGUGAUGGUAUUUCACUGACGUUAUUAUCAUCAGAGGACUGGAUGAUGUUAAUAAAUUGUGUAUACGAAUUAAUAUUAUCUCACAAAACUAACCUGGAGAAUUAUCCAUGACUGUAUCUACUCCUCCAGACGAUGCCGAUGCCGUUUCCACACUGACUCAUUUAUUGCCACCAGAGUUAAAAAAACGAGUCGACGCAUCAGAGCAUUCGCGGCCAUAUCCGACAUCAACUGGCUCAAUGUAUUGUUAUAUCUCUACUUGCAAAAACGGCCAAGUUGCGGACAAGUAUGGCUUAGAGGAUCAAAUAAACGAUUACCUGGUGAGUAUGAAAUUGUACAAUGGCAAAGUUUCAUCGAAGGAUCCCUCCCUGUAUUGGAAGGGGAAAACUUUGGAAUUAAUGAUCAGUGCAGAACAUGGCUCGACAGUCAUGGAACACGUAAAUGGCCUCAUAGCAAGCGGCAGCCAACCAUUACAGGUAAAGGGUGCAAUGCUGAAACCACAGCGAAAAAGGUACUUUCCCUAUUAAUAUCUUAUAAUUGCAUUCCUCCAGAGAACAACAUCCAGAGAAUACCAUCGACUCAUCCGUAUUUUAUUAAUUUAAUUGAUCCAAAGUUUAAAAGGUAUUUGGAGAUGGGAAUGGAGUUGUUCCAAAAUACUAUUAAUGAAUUGUAUUUAAAAGGUUUGGAAAAUUUACAUGGUUCCAGUUCAGAAGAUAAUAUUUCUAUUCCCAUGCUACAGUCGUAUGGGAAUAUUAUUACACUUUGCAAGAUUCUUUAUGUUGGUUAAAUAAAUUACUUUUAUGUCAAUGUAAUGAUGAUACAGAUGAAGCUACAAAAUUUUUAACAAAUUUAGUGUGGUUUAACCAUAAUGGUUUAUCUCAGUGGCAAGAUGUGAAUGCUACAGAAUGUUAUGUUUCUAAUAAAAAAUUGAAAACUUUGUUUGGUUGGACCACCUAAAACUAUGGUAAAAUUUGGUUUGUCGAUUGUUAAUUUCUCUCACAUUAACUGUUGGACACAAUGGACGAUGCAACAAUUAGACUAAUCAAUUUGCCCUUCAAGAAGCUGUAAAUAGACAUGUUAUUGUUGGUAAUGAAAUUUCAUUGGGAGAAGGUGCUAUUGAAGAUUUUAAAAAGUUUGUGAAGUGAUAGCAUGUGACAUUCAUGUAAAAUAUAAAGGAGACGCCGUUUUACGACGUACUCCAUUGUUAUUAAUAUCUAAUUCUCAACCUAUAAUAUGUUCUCAUCCUGAUUUCAAUAAUGUACGUGUGAGAACUGUUCAGUUGGAGGGAAUUUGAUGAACUGAAAAAUGCAUUUGAAAAACCGUAUCCACUUGCUUUUUUAAAAUUUAUUACAAAUGUAUAAUGUGAAAUAUUAAAUAAUUGUAACACUUGUUUGUACUACAUAUUGUUUAUUGAAACUCAAAAUUAAUGUAACACUGUACUAUACAAAUUUGUUUACAAUAUAUAUAAUAAAAGUA